GGAGAGGUGCCGGAGUGGUCGAACGGGCACGACUGGAAAUCGUGUACCCCGACAAAAUCGGGGUCGGGGGUUCGAAUCCCCCCCUCUCCGCCC
RNAcentral lists this transfer RNA (93 nucleotides) under Bacteroidota bacterium. RNAcentral describes it as "Bacteroidetes bacterium (hot springs metagenome) tRNA-Ser". It matches the Rfam family "tRNA". Rfam says of the family: Transfer RNA (tRNA) molecules are approximately 80 nucleotides in length. Their secondary structure includes four short double-helical elements and three loops (D, anti-codon, and T loops). Lineage: Bacteria; Pseudomonadati; Bacteroidota. The record is from RNAcentral.